This 439-nucleotide RNase P RNA is filed under the name Hydrococcus sp. C42_A2020_068. RNAcentral's name for it is "RNase P RNA component class A". It matches the Rfam family "Bacterial RNase P class A". Rfam says of the family: Ribonuclease P (RNase P) is a ubiquitous endoribonuclease, found in archaea, bacteria and eukarya as well as chloroplasts and mitochondria. Lineage: Bacteria; Bacillati; Cyanobacteriota; Cyanophyceae; Pleurocapsales; Hydrococcaceae. The record is from RNAcentral.
GAGAGUAAGCGAGGUGGUUGCGGAUUGGCAAAAUUUGCCAAUCUGAGGAAAGUCCGGACUCCCGAAAGACCAAACUUGCUGGGUAACGCCCAGUGUGCGCAAGCGCGAGGAUAGUGCCACAGAAACAUACCGCCAAUUAGUUAUUUGUCAUUUGUCAUUUGUUUUUUACAAAGACAAAGGACAAAAUUGGUAAGGGUGCAAAGGUGCGGUAAGAGCGCACCAGCAGCAUCGAGAGGUGCUGGCUCGGUAAACCCCGGUUGGGAGCAAGGUCGAAGGGACUACGGUUGGUCUUUUACCAGUCCCGCUGCGAGAGAACCGCUUGAGGUGUCUGGUAACAGACAUCCCAGAUAGAUAACCGCCCGUGCAACAGUUAGCCGAUCGCUGUAAGCUAAGCUAUUGAUUGUACGAACAGAAUCCGGCUUACGUCUUACUUUCUCCU